CCUGAUGGCUUAAACAAUAAAGAAUCUGCCUGCAAUGCAGGAGACCUGGGUUCAAACCCUGGGUCAGGA
Molecule: transfer RNA, 69 nt
Filed under: Capra hircus (goat)
Lineage: Eukaryota; Metazoa; Chordata; Mammalia; Artiodactyla; Bovidae
Also listed under: 1 other name
Rfam family: tRNA
About the family: Transfer RNA (tRNA) molecules are approximately 80 nucleotides in length. Their secondary structure includes four short double-helical elements and three loops (D, anti-codon, and T loops).
Source: Rfam by way of RNAcentral